AAUGGAGCAGAGACUGGAGCAGAGACAAGUUGUUCCCACUGAGCUCUCCUCAGAUUACAGAUUGGUGAUACAUCACAGGGGCUCAUGAAUGUGUCUUAAGCUGGGUCAUUGAAGUGGAAUGUUUUCACAAGACCUCCUCCACUUGCUACUGUGUCCGGAAUUGGUGGGUUCUUGGUCUCACUGACUUCAAGAAUGAAGCCGCGGACCCUCGCGGGAGUGGCAAAUCAAAGGCAUUGCAGCCUCUUUCAUCACUGCCGAUUGCUGAUGCCAACCAUGUGCCAAGUGCUUAAUACGUCACCUUAAAUCUUCUCAUCCACCCUCAGAGCUGCAGCAUCAACCCAGUGCCCUGACUUUCAAGACGACUAUGAAAACACCCCAACUGCUGCUAAAUUACCAGCAACAAGGAUCUGGAAUUUUCCUGACAAGAGCAGUGCCUAUCCUGAGGCAAUCGUAUUUCUCCUUGACUUCUCUCCAGUAUCAGCUUGUUGCUUGACACCCCUGCACAGCCAACUGUGUAAUGUGGUGCAGCCAUCCAGCCCAGAACACAACAAGAAUAGAGUUGAUGAGCCCUCUUCUCCUCAACAAACACCUGUGAAAAAUGGGCCAAUUCACAGCUGCAAUGGUUGGGAGAAUUUCCUGUCUGGGAGUCUGGAAACUGCCAAGAGUGGAAAGCUGCAGCCAGCCAGCGAGGCCUCUGUUGUCACUGGCCCAAACAACAACAAAAACAACCGCAACAACAACAACAACAACAAAACAUGCCACGUGUGCACUGGCAUAUACAAACACGCCCACAGAACCAAACCAAGCGGACAAGGCUUCAAGGAGAGCUUCUGGGCGGCUCAUUCCCGCGGCGAGGCAUAUCCCUUGGCAUGGUGCCACUGCAGCCCAGCUCCCAGCCCCCCCGCCAUCUGUCAUCAGCGCUCUGCCUACUGUGGCAUUUCCCUCUUUGCUCGGCACCUCUCCCUAUUGCCGCCAUAUGAAAAAGGAGGUGUUUGCUUCCCCUUCCACCAUGAUUGUAAGUUUCCUGAGGCCUCCCGAGCCAUGCUGAACUGUGAGUUAAUAAAACCUCUUUCCUUUAUAAAUUA
RNAcentral lists this long non-coding RNA (1085 nucleotides) under Homo sapiens (human). Its description in RNAcentral is "long intergenic non-protein coding RNA 1505". The record is from RNAcentral. Lineage: Eukaryota; Metazoa; Chordata; Mammalia; Primates; Hominidae.